GGAUUCGNAUGGGCGAAGCCUGACGCAGCAACGCCGCGUGGAGGAUGAAGGCCUUCGGGUCGUAAACUCCUGUCAGCGGGGACGAAAGCCGAAAGGUUUGACUGUACCCGCUGAGGAAGCCACGGCUAACUCCGUGCCAGCAGCCGCGGUAAUACGGAGGUGGCAAGCGUUGUUCGGAAUUACUGGGCGUAAAGGGCGCGUAGGCGGCAUGGCAAGUCAGAUGUGAAAGCCCCGGGCUCAACUCGGGAAUUGCAUCUGAAACUGCUUUGCUUGAGUCCUGGAGGGGGUAGUGGAAUUCCCAGUGUAGCGGUGAAAUGCGUAGAUAUUGGGAGGAACACCGGUGGCGAAGGCGGCUACCUGGACAGUGACUGACGCUGAGGCGCGAAAGCUAGGGGAGCAAACGGGAUUAGAUACCCCGGUAGUCCUAGCUGUAAACGAUGGGCACUUGGUGUUGGGGGUAUUGAGUCCCCCGGUGCCGGAGUUAACACGUUAAGUGCCCCGCCUGGGGAGUACGGUCGCAAGACUGAAACUCAAAGAAAUUGACGGA
Molecule: ribosomal RNA, 547 nt
Filed under: uncultured bacterium
Lineage: Bacteria
Description: bacterial SSU rRNA
Rfam family: Bacterial small subunit ribosomal RNA
Source: RNAcentral